RNAcentral lists this ribosomal RNA (2964 nucleotides) under Triticum aestivum (bread wheat). RNAcentral describes it as "partial small subunit ribosomal RNA". The record is from RNAcentral. Lineage: Eukaryota; Viridiplantae; Streptophyta; Magnoliopsida; Poales; Poaceae.
AUGUCUCUCAUCCACCUCCACCUCCACCGCCGCCUCUUCUCCUCCACCGCGCGGCCCUCGCGACCCUCGCGUGCCUGGUCUCCCCACGCCGCCUUUGCUGCGGCCACGGAGCGCGUCCGCGCCGGGAAUUUCAGCUGGGAAGACGCACACAACCUGUUCGACGAAUUGCUACGGCGGGCCACCCCGGUCCCCAAGCGCUCCCUCGACGGCUUCCUUGCCGCCCUCGCCCGUGCGCACGCCUCCGAAGCCUGCAGAGAUGGUCCCGCCCUCGCCCUCGCUCUCUUCAACCUCGUCUGCCGGGAUGAAUCCGGCGCGCGGGUGGCACCGCCCACAAUCUUCACGUACGGCAUUCUCAUGAACUGCUGCUGUCGUGCGCAUUGCCCGGACCUAGGGCUAGCCUUCUUCGGGCGCCUCCUCAGGACGGGCCUGAAGGCUGACCUGAUAGUCGCCAACACCCUCCUUAAGUGUCUCUGCCACGCGAAACGGACGGAUGAGGCUGUGAACGUGCUGCUUCAUAGGAUGUCCAAGCUCGGCUGUGUGCCUGAUACCUUCUCAUACAACAUUGUUCUCAAGAGCUUAUGCGACAAUGGCAUGAGCCAGCAGGCGCUCGACCUGCUCCAUAUGAUGGCGAAAGAAGGAGGUGGCUGCCCCCCUGACGUGGUGGCGUAUAGCACAGUCAUCCAUGGCUUCUUUAAGGAAGGUGAAACAGGCAAGGCAUGCAAUCUGUUCCAUGAAAUGAUGCAUCAAGGUGUUGAGCCCAAUGUGUGGACAUAUAGUUCAAUCAUUGAUGCAUUGUGCAAGGCCAGAGCAAUGGACAAGACAGAGCUAGUGCUUCAGCAGAUGGUUAACAAAGGUGUUCAACCCGAUAAUGUGACAUAUAAUUGCAUGAUCCAUGGAUAUUCCACAUCUGGGAGGUGGAAAGAGGCUGUUAAAUUGUUUAGAGAAAUGAAAAGCCGGGGCCUUAUACCAGAUAUUUCUACUUGCAACUCCUUAAUGACUUACCUUUGUAAGCAUGGAAGAAGCAAAGAAGGUGCAGAAUUUUUUGAUGCCAUGACUGCCAAAGGGCACAGAGAUGUCAUCUCCUACUGUAUUUUGCUUCAUGGGUAUGCCAAUGAAGGAUGCUUUGCUGAUAUGAUUGAUCUCUUUAAUUCAAUGGAAAGAAACGGUAUUGCUGCCAACUGCUAUGUUUUCAACAUAUUAAUUAAUGGAUAUGCUAAAUGUGGAAUGACGGAUGAAGCUAUGCUGAUAUUUACAGAAAUGUGGGAAAAAGGAGUGAGUCCCAAUGUAGUCACAUAUUCCACUGUAAUAGCUGCACUUUCCAGGAUGGGUAGGUUGACUGAUUCUAUGGACAAAUUUAAUCAGAUGAUUGCCAUGGGAAUUCAGCCAAACACAGCUGUUUAUCACUCCCUAAUUCAGGGUUGUCUUAUGCAUGGUGGCUUGGUUAAAGCUAAGGAGCUGAUGUUUGAUAUGAUGAACAAAGGUAUUCCUCGUCCUAACAUUGUUUUCUUCAGUUCAGUAAUAAACAGUCUGUGCAAAGAAGGAAGGGUUAUGGAUGCACAUGCUGUCUUUGACUUGGCUAUAGGCAUAGGUGAGAGGCCUGAUGUCAUUACAUUUAAUUCACUGAUUGACGGAUAUUGCUUAGUUGGGAAGAUGGAUACAGCAUUCAAAAUACUUGAUGUCAUGGAAUUAGUUGGUGUUGAGCCUGAUGUUGUUACUUAUAGUGCACUUCUUGAUGGCUAUUUUAAAAACAGAAGGAUUGAUGAUGCUUUGACUUUUUUUAGAGAAAUGCCAUGUAAGAGAAUUAAACCUAACACUGUUACAUAUGGCAUCAUGUUGGGUGGGUUGUUUCGUGCUGGGAGAACUGUUGCUGCAAUGAAAAUGUUCCAUGAGAUGAUUGAAAGUGGAGCAACAGUGCGCAUUUCCACAUACAAUAUAAUACUUGGAGGUCUUUGUCAAACUAAUUGUGUAGACGAAGCGAUUGCACUGUUCCAGAAAUUACGAGCAAUGAAUGUGAAGUUCAAUAUUGAAACACUCAAUACCAUGAUUAAUGCAAUGUACAAGGUUCAAAGAAAAGAAGAAGCUAAGGAUUUGUUUGCUGCAAUACCAGCUAGUGGGUUGGUGCCCAAUGAAUCUACUUAUGCAGUAAUGAUAAGAAAUCUUCUAAAAGACGGAGCAGUGGAAGAUGCUGACAAUAUGUUUUCAUCAAUGGACAACAGUGGGGUAACGACUUCUGAUGGCGAUUUUGGGGAAGAUUCAGCUAUUUCUCCUCAUGAUGUAAGUAAAGCUUACAGAGCCAUCCGACUUGCGAAUCUCGCCAGUCCUUGCUUGGUCUGCCUGCUCGAUCCGGCUUUGGCCGCCAGUCCACCAGCUGGAUCUUCGGGGACAGGCGACUCGUGGUCUGUCAUCACCACUGAUGAUGGUGAGGACAACAUCAUGUCCAGACAACAUUCCAUUCUUCCUGCAAACCAUGGUGGUUGGGCUGCUGGUGGCCAUGGUGAAGGAGAAGGUUUCCAGCUACAUCCUAGACUGGUACGAGGUGAUGAAGGGCAUGGGGACACAGCACAAGAUCCUGAAGUGAAGCUGCUCCCAGUCAUCCUGGAGUCAUCACCGAGGCCGAGAAGGCAGCAGCCCACAGAGAAGGGAUCAAGGCCUAGCUCAAGGAUUUCAUGGUGGCUUACAAGGAGAAUGAAGUCAGUCUUCGACGAGUUCAAGGCCGGCACCCAAGCAGUGGCGCUUUGUGUUGGUGAUAACUUGCAACCAAGAAUCAUGAGUACAGUUCAAGCCGAUGACAUUGCAGUUUUUGAUAAGAAACUCAUAAAGAAGGUCGACUUCACUGAUGCUGAUGAGCAACCAGAACCUCGUCCAGGCAAGCACAAGAGGAAACCCAUUUCCGUUGAGACUUUGAUGCGAAAGAGCGUAGCUGCUCCGGCGUACGUUGACAGAACUGAGUAUCUGUCAGGUUGA